AAGACGAUCAGGUUGAUAGGUUCGAGGUGGAAGUGCAGCAAUGCAUGCAGCUGACGAAUACUAAUCGGUCGAGGGCUUAUCCUA
This 84-nucleotide ribosomal RNA is filed under the name Paenibacillus sp. OV219. RNAcentral describes it as "23S rRNA. Bacterial LSU". It matches the Rfam family "Bacterial large subunit ribosomal RNA", at positions 2841 to 2925 of the family's 2925-position model. Lineage: Bacteria; Bacillati; Bacillota; Bacilli; Caryophanales; Paenibacillaceae. The record is from RNAcentral.